AGUGAACGCUGGCGGUAGGCCUAACACAUGCAAGUCGAACGGCAGCACAGUAAGAGCUUGCUCUUACGGGUGGCGAGUGGCGGACGGGUGAGGAAUACAUCGGAAUCUACUUUUUCGUGGGGGAUAACGUAGGGAAACUUACGCUAAUACCGCAUACGACCUACGGGUGAAAGCAGGGGAUCUUCGGACCUUGCGCGAUUGAAUGAGCCGAUGUCGGAUUAGCUAGUUGGCGGGGUAAAGGCCCACCAAGGCGACGAUCCGUAGCUGGUCUGAGAGGAUGAUCAGCCACACUGGAACUGAGACACGGUCCAGACUCCUACGGGAGGCAGCAGUGGGGAAUAUUGGACAAUGGGCGCAAGCCUGAUCCAGCCAUACCGCGUGGGUGAAGAUGGACUUCGGGUUGUAAAGCCCUUUUGUUGGGAAAGAAAAGCAGCAGGUUAAUACCCCGCUGUUCUGACGGUACCCAAAGAAUAAGCACCGGCUAACUUCGUG
This 492-nucleotide ribosomal RNA is filed under the name uncultured bacterium. Its description in RNAcentral is "partial 16S ribosomal RNA". It matches the Rfam family "Bacterial small subunit ribosomal RNA", at positions 29 to 507 of the family's 1533-position model. The record is from RNAcentral.